This 292-nucleotide ribosomal RNA is filed under the name uncultured bacterium. Its description in RNAcentral is "partial 16S ribosomal RNA". It matches the Rfam family "Bacterial small subunit ribosomal RNA", at positions 505 to 796 of the family's 1533-position model. The record is from RNAcentral.
GUGCCAGCCGCCGCGGUAAGACAGAGGGGGCAAGCGUUGUCCGGAAUCACUGGGCGUAAAGCGCACGCAGGCGGCCCGGCAAGUGAGGUGUGACAGCGGACGGCUUAACCGUCCGACGCCAUCUCAGACUGCCGAGCUUGAGCCGUGCAGAGGUCAGCGGAAUUGCCGGUGUAGGAGUGACAUCCGUAGAGACCGGCAGGAACACCGAUGGGGAAGCCAGCUGACUGGGCACGUGCUGACGCUCAGGUGCGACAGCGUGGGGAGCGAACCGGAUUAGAUACCCGCGUAGUCC